Molecule: ribosomal RNA, 253 nt
Filed under: uncultured bacterium
Lineage: Bacteria
Description: partial 16S ribosomal RNA
Rfam family: Bacterial small subunit ribosomal RNA
Source: RNAcentral
UACGAAGGGGGCUAGCGUUGCUCGGAAUCACUGGGCGUAAAGCGCACGUAGGCGGAUUGCUAAGUCAGGGGUGAAAUCCUGGAGCUCAACUCCAGAACUGCCUUUGAUACUGGCAACCUUGAGUCCGGGAGAGGUGAGUGGAACUGCGAGUGUAGAGGUGAAAUUCGUAGAUAUUCGGAAGAACACCAGUGGCGAAGGCGACUUACUGGACACAUAUUGACGCUGAGGUGCGAAAGCGUGGGGAGCAAACAGG